RNAcentral lists this unclassified non-coding RNA (237 nucleotides) under uncultured Capnodiales. Its description in RNAcentral is "sequence contains 5.8S rRNA gene". Lineage: Eukaryota; Fungi; Ascomycota; Dothideomycetes; Capnodiales. The record is from RNAcentral.
AACGCACAUUGCGCCCUUUGGCAUUCCGAAGGGCAUGCCCGUUCGAGCGUCAUUACACCAAUCAAGCCUGGCUUGGUAUUGGGCGUCGGGAGACCCCGCGCCCUCAAUUCAUCGGCUGGACGGUUCGACUCUCAGCGUUGUGGUCAUUCAAUUCGCUGGCGAGGACGACUGGACGCGCCGUUAAACCUCUAUCACAGGUUGACCUCGGAUCGGGUAGGGAUACCCGCUGAACUUAAG